Long non-coding RNA from Mesocricetus auratus (golden hamster), 967 nucleotides. RefSeq lists it as uncharacterized. The transcript has 2 exons. The record is from RefSeq and is a predicted model, not a curated record. Lineage: Eukaryota; Metazoa; Chordata; Mammalia; Rodentia; Cricetidae.
UCAGCCAUGCAUAAAUGGGGUGCCCCGGUUGCAAGGAGCAGGACUCCACCUCCAACGAGCAGCAGUCAAGUCCUCCACCACUCCUCCAAGGACCGUGUCCGGGAAGUCUGGGCCUAGGGGACCGACCCUUCUGGUGGUUGCUGCUGCCUGCAAGUAUCAAAGAGUUGCCGGGGCAGACUUGCUGGCUGUUCCUUUUUCCUAUGCAUAUACUUCUUUGUGGAACUGGUCUAAAGAGGUGUAGCGCAUGGGAAAAUGGAGCAGUGAGAUCUUCCCCACCAGAAGGAUGUGCUUAGACCUGCUUCCGGACCAGGCGACUUCUGCUUCCCUCCCACUGGACCCGGGGCUGGGAGCUUUCCUGUCAGCUCUGGGCACUGUAAGAAGAGCCGCACUGCCUUUCCUGUGUCUUCAAGGGAACAGUGCUGGCCCUACCCAAGCCAAUCUUAGGGACCACUCAGGUGUUAGAAUGGAGGACUUUCACUGGGUGGGGGAACUCUGGGGGCAGAGCCGACUGAUCCAAGGUCUUACAGUGUUAGAACAGAUCUGUCUAAGUUUGGGCUUAGGCAAUCCUGGGUUCUGGGGACCUCGGAGGGGUGGGUAGGAUCAGGACUUGAUCUUUGAAAUUUUCUUUAAGGUAUGAAAUCAGUGUAUGAAAACAUUUCACAAUAGUGAAUGACCACGGGUCUGAUGUUGGAGGAGAUAAAAGGGCCGGCUGAGGGUUCAGCGGGCUCUGGGUUCAGUCUGUAUUGUUUCCUGUCACCAUUUUACAUUUUAACAAUGAUGGGUAUGAUUGAUUUAUAUUUAUAUUUAUUUUUUGAGCUUAAGUUCAGGCUAAAGCUGGGUGUCUCUUGGUGGCAGAAUGCUUCCCAUUAAUGGGUGAGGAGGUCAUGGGUUCAAUUUCCAGAACUGAGGGAAAAUAAAAAUCAGGAAAACUGACAAAAAUAAAAUUUUGAGCCAUGUUGUUCUGUUA